RNAcentral lists this ribosomal RNA (253 nucleotides) under uncultured bacterium. Its description in RNAcentral is "partial 16S ribosomal RNA". It matches the Rfam family "Bacterial small subunit ribosomal RNA", at positions 524 to 776 of the family's 1533-position model. The record is from RNAcentral.
UACGUAGGGUGCAAGUGUUGUCCGGAAUUAUUGGGCGUAAAGAGCUUGUAGGCGGUCUGUCGCGUCGGCUGUGAAAACCCGGAGCUCAACUCCGGGCCUGCAGUCGAUACGGGCAGACUGGAGUUCGGCAGGGGAGACUGGAAUUCCUGGUGUAGCGGUGAAAUGCGCAGAUAUCAGGAGGAACACCGGUGGCGAAGGCGGGUCUCUGGGCCGAUACUGACGCUGAGGAGCGAAAGCGUGGGGAGCGAACAGG